UGGCUUCGGCCGAUGAGUAAAGUGGCGCACGGGUGAGUAACGCGUGGAUAAUCUGCCCUUAAGUUUGGAAUAACGUACCGAAAGGUGCGCUAAUACCGGAUAAUACUGAAUGACUACUGUUAUUUAGUCAAAGAAGGCUUCUGUUUACAUGCUUUUGCUGAAGGAUGAGUCCGCGUACCAUUAGCUAGUUGGUAGGGUAAUGGCCUACCAAGGCGACGAUGGUUAGCUGGUCUGAGAGGAUGAUCAGCCACACUGGAACUGAGACACGGUCCAGACUCCUACGGGAGGCAGCAGUGAGGAAUAUUGCGCAAUGGGGGAAAGCCUGACGCAGCAACGCCGCGUGAGUGAGGAAGGUUUUCGGACCGUAAAGCUCUGUCGAGCGGGAGGAAAUGCAUGUUGGCUAAUAUCCAUCAUGCUUGACGGGUACCGCUAAAGGAAGCACCGGCUAACUCCGUGCCAGCAGCCGCGGUAAUACGGGGGUUGCGAGCGUUGUUCGGAAUUAUUGGGCGUAAGGAGCGUGUAGGCGGCUGAAUAAGUCAGAUGUGAAAUCCCUGGGCUUAACCCAGGACGUGCAUUUGAAACUAUUCGGCUAGAGUAGGGGAGAGGAAAGUGGAAUUCCUGGUGUAGAGGUGAAAUUCGUAGAUAUCAGGAGGAACACCGGUGGCGAAGGCGACUUUCUGGCCCUAUACUGACGCUGAGACGCGAGAGCGUGGGUAGCAAACAGGAUUAGAUACCCUGGUAGUCCACGCUGUAAACGAUGUUCACUAGGUGUUGGGGGUAUUGACCCUCUCAGUGCCGC
This 799-nucleotide ribosomal RNA is filed under the name uncultured Syntrophaceae bacterium. Its description in RNAcentral is "bacterial SSU rRNA". It matches the Rfam family "Bacterial small subunit ribosomal RNA", at positions 75 to 849 of the family's 1533-position model. Lineage: Bacteria; Pseudomonadati; Thermodesulfobacteriota; Syntrophia; Syntrophales; Syntrophaceae. The record is from RNAcentral.